CGCGGGGUGGAGCAGCCUGGUAGCUCGUCGGGCUCAUAACCCGAAGGUCGUCGGUUCAAAUCCGGCCCCAGGUCGUCGGUUCAAAUCCGGCCCCCGCAACCA
RNAcentral lists this transfer RNA (102 nucleotides) under Escherichia coli. RNAcentral's name for it is "tRNA-Met". The stretch from base 5 to 69 matches the Rfam family "tRNA", at positions 5 to 66 of the family's 71-position model. From Rfam's summary of the family: Transfer RNA (tRNA) molecules are approximately 80 nucleotides in length. Their secondary structure includes four short double-helical elements and three loops (D, anti-codon, and T loops). The record is from RNAcentral. Lineage: Bacteria; Pseudomonadati; Pseudomonadota; Gammaproteobacteria; Enterobacterales; Enterobacteriaceae.